Molecule: ribosomal RNA, 198 nt
Filed under: uncultured bacterium
Lineage: Bacteria
Description: partial 16S ribosomal RNA
Rfam family: Bacterial small subunit ribosomal RNA
Source: RNAcentral
ACGCUCGACACCUACGGGAGACAGCAGUGGGGAAUAUUGCACAAUGGGGGAAACCCUGAUGCAGCGACGCCGCGUGAGUGAAGAAGUAUUUCGGUAUGUAAAGCUCUAUCAGCAGGGAAGAAAAUGACGGUACCUGACUAAGAAGCCCCGGCUAACUACGUGCCUGCAGCCGCGGUAAUCUGAGCGGGCUGGCAAGGC